AAGGCUAAAAGAUAAUAAUGAAAAACCUCAAGACUCUUUCCAGAGCCCUGACACAGCUUGGCCCUGAUUGGCCAAAGAGUGAAAACAAUUCACAUGAAACCAAUGAAACAAUCCCCUGUUGGUAAAAAAUGUCCAAACCACAUUCCAAAGCAGCAAAACACAGGAGAAGCAAACGAGAUAAAAUUGUUUUCCUUUUUCUCUGAGGCUUCUCAGCUUCCCAGGAGAGAAAUCCUGGGCAAAGGGAUUUUUCCAGAAAAUGUGAAUGUGACACAAGGCUGCAGUUUUCCUCUGAAGGUCAAACUCUGAGUUUCCCACCCUGUGCUCUCACACACUUCUGUCCAAACUGCACAGCCACAAUCCCAGCUCUGCCAUUCCAUUCUGGAAGCUUCUCCAGGGCCUCAGGUCAGUGCAGAGUUCUCCUGGGGCUCAGAGCCUGCAGCACAGAGAGGCUGGAAUUCUCAGAAUCCUGGGUUCCAACAGCUCUUGGUUUGAGCUCUUCCUCCUGCCCAGCAUCCCUGGAAUUCAAUCCCGUGUGUGGGACAAAUCCUGAGCAUCCCCUGCUGUCUCAGGGGGACAGCUGAGGAGCUGGAAAAGGAAAAGCAUGGAAUAAAAAACCCACAGAGCUCCAGGGCAUCCCGGGACUCAGGGGAAUGUGGAGGGAAAUUUGCUGGUGCUGAACAAAGUCACAGUGUUUUAUGUCCAUGAAAUCAUUUUUGGCAGCAGAGCCUCUCUGGGUGACUGAAAUCCUUCCUGUGGCUUCCAGCUCUGCUCUAGAGCAGGACUUCAAACUCCUCCCUCAGCUUUCCAUCAGAUCCUUUGGAUCCAGAAGGAUAAUUAAGGUUAUACAAUCAGUUAACAAUUAAAACCCAAAUUACUCCAGGCAGCUUUAAUAUUCCUGUAACCCAGACUUUGCCUUCUCCAUACCUGGGUGACAACACUUGCUCUGUUCUGGCUUUUUUUUGGUUAUUAAAUAACAAAAUUAAACCAACCCAGUGGGAAAUGCUAUCAAAGUUCAGUAGCCAAAUAUUUAUUUAGUUACUAGGAGAGUUCUUGGGGCUGAGGAUUUAUGUUCUAACAGUCAGAGCUGUUAAAAUAAAACAUCAUUUAUAAUCUGA
Long non-coding RNA from Passer domesticus (house sparrow), 1115 nucleotides. RefSeq lists it as uncharacterized. The record is from RefSeq and is a predicted model, not a curated record. Lineage: Eukaryota; Metazoa; Chordata; Aves; Passeriformes; Passeridae. The transcript is spliced from 2 exons.